RNAcentral lists this ribosomal RNA (253 nucleotides) under uncultured bacterium. RNAcentral describes it as "partial 16S ribosomal RNA". It matches the Rfam family "Bacterial small subunit ribosomal RNA", at positions 524 to 776 of the family's 1533-position model. The record is from RNAcentral.
UACGAAGGGGGCUAGCGUUGCUCGGAAUCACUGGGCGUAAAGCGCACGUAGGCGGCUUUUUAAGUCAGGGGUGAAAUCCUGGAGCUCAACUCCAGAACUGCCUUUGAUACUGAGGAUCUUGAGUUCGGGAGAGGUGAGUGGAACUGCGAGUGUAGAGGUGAAAUUCGUAGAUAUUCGCAAGAACACCAGUGGCGAAGGCGGCUCACUGGCCCGAUACUGACGCCGAUGCACGAAAGCGUGGGGAGCAAACAGG